AACGAACGCUGGCGGCAUGCCUAACACAUGCAAGUCGAACGAGACCUUCGGGUCUAGUGGCGCACGGGUGCGUAACGCGUGGGAACCUGCCCUUAGGUUCGGAAUAACUCCCCGAAAGGGGUGCUAAUACCGGAUAAUGUCUUCGGACCAAAGAUUUAUCGCCUUUGGAUGGGCCCGCGUUGGAUUAGCUAGUUGGUAGGGUAAAAGCCUACCAAGGCGACGAUCCAUAGCUGGUCUGAGAGGAUGAUCAGCCACACUGGGACUGAGACACGGCCCAGACUCCUACGGGAGGCAGCAGUGGGGAAUAUUGGACAAUGGGCGAAAGCCUGAUCCAGCAAUGCCGCGUGAGUGGUGAAGGCCUUAGGGUUGUAAAGCUCUUUUACCCGGGAUGAUAAUGACAGUACCGGGAGAAUAAGCCCCGGCUAACUCCGUG
This 433-nucleotide ribosomal RNA is filed under the name uncultured bacterium. RNAcentral's name for it is "partial 16S ribosomal RNA". It matches the Rfam family "Bacterial small subunit ribosomal RNA", at positions 29 to 507 of the family's 1533-position model. The record is from RNAcentral.